RNAcentral lists this transfer RNA (77 nucleotides) under Candidatus Phytoplasma mali. Its description in RNAcentral is "tRNA-Met (CAT) (tRNA-Met-CAT-1-1)". It matches the Rfam family "tRNA". Rfam says of the family: Transfer RNA (tRNA) molecules are approximately 80 nucleotides in length. Their secondary structure includes four short double-helical elements and three loops (D, anti-codon, and T loops). The record is from RNAcentral. Lineage: Bacteria; Bacillati; Mycoplasmatota; Mollicutes; Acholeplasmatales; Acholeplasmataceae.
GGCGGUGUAGCUCAGUUGGCUAGAGCGUACGGUUCAUACCCGUGAGGUCGAGGGUUCAAAUCCCUCUGCCGCUACCA